RNAcentral lists this long non-coding RNA (672 nucleotides) under Chloebia gouldiae (Gouldian finch). RNAcentral describes it as "Erythrura gouldiae (Gouldian finch) lncRNA (ENSEGOG00005019348.1)". The record is from RNAcentral. Lineage: Eukaryota; Metazoa; Chordata; Aves; Passeriformes; Passeridae.
CCGGUAUCCACGAACGUUGCUGCGCCGGGGCUUGCCGGCGGCGCCGCGCCUGGCAUCGGGGCCUGCGCAAGUGGCGCAGCUGCUGCAUGGCGGCCGCUCGGCUGCCGCGUCCCUGCGCCGUUUGCUGCCGAGCUGCAGCCCUCACACAACCCUGGUACUAGGGGCCUGCUGUGCGAGCUGCAGGCACGUUCACAGAAGGUGCAGAAGAUGCUGUGUCAUGACUUGUGUGUGAAAAAACAGUAGGAAUACACCAUAGAACAUGUAUAUACAUUUAUCUGCUUGUAGCAAAGGGAUUUUGCUGGAUGUAAAGAGCUGCUCCUUGCUGUUUGCCUUACUUUUCCAUGGGCAGAAACACAGAAUGGCUUCUUACCAUUUAAGAGCCUGUUGGAGUGCUGACCUGGAUUUGGGAGGAGCCAAGUAUCCUAGAGCUGUGAGGUUUUUCCUGUCAGAAAUCCAUUAUGGGGAUGUUUUCCCUGGCUGUGCCAAGUGGAAGGGACAGCUUUGGAGUUGUUGCAGCCACACAUUGGGGAUGCAUCCCCUGAAAAGCAGUUCAGGAUUGUUCAUCUGACUCUGCCCCUGACCUGUAGCUUCCAGGGACCCUCCUGGUAUCCUGAAUAUUCCCAGGAGAGGAUAUUCCACCACCUGCCUUUCGAGCCAGGAAUUCCAGACCCG